RNAcentral lists this ribosomal RNA (253 nucleotides) under uncultured bacterium. RNAcentral's name for it is "partial 16S ribosomal RNA". It matches the Rfam family "Bacterial small subunit ribosomal RNA", at positions 524 to 776 of the family's 1533-position model. The record is from RNAcentral.
UACGUAGGUGGCAAGCGUUACUCGGAAUCACUAGGCGUAAAGCGCAGGUAGGCGGUUUGAUAAGUCUGUUGUGAAAGCUCCCGGCUUAACUGGGAGAGGUCAACGGAAACUGUCAAGCUAGAGUGUGGUAGAGGUAGCUGGAAUUCCCGGUGUAGCGGUGAAAUGCGUAGAUAUCGGGAGGAAUACCUAUGGCGAAAGCAGGCUACUGGACCAUCACUGACGCUGAUCUGCGAAAGCGUGGGGAUCAAACAGG